GUCGAGGGGAAACGACAUCGAAAGCUUGCUUUUGAUGGGCGUCGACCGGCGCACGGGUGAGUAACGCGUAUCCAACCUGCCCACCACUUGGGGAUAACCUUGCGAAAGUAAGACUAAUACCCAAUGACGUCUCUAGAAGACAUCUGAAGGAGAUUAAAGAUUUAUCGGUGAUGGAUGGGGAUGCGUCUGAUUAGCUUGUUGGCGGGGUAACGGCCCACCAAGGCAACGAUCAGUAGGGGUUCUGAGAGGAAGGUCCCCCACAUUGGAACUGAGACACGGUCCAAACUCCUACGGGAGGCAGCAGUGAGGAAUAUUGGUCAAUGGGCGAGAGCCUGAACCAGCCAAGUAGCGUGCAGGAUGACGGCCCUAUGGGUUGUAAACUGCUUUUAUAAGGGAAUAAAGUGAGUCUCGUGAGACUUUUUGCAUGUACCUUAUGAAUAAGGACCGGCUAAUUCCGUGCCAGCAGCCGCGGUAAUACGGAAGGUCCGGGCGUUAUCCGGAUUUAUUGGGUUUAAAGGGAGCGUAGGCCGGAGAUUAAGCGUGUUGUGAAAUGUAGACGCUCAACGUCUGCACUGCAGCGCGAACUGGUUUCCUUGAGUACGCACAAAGUGGGCGGAAUUCGUGGUGUAGCGGUGAAAUGCUUAGAUAUCACGAAGAACUCCGAUUGCGAAGGCAGCUCACUGGAGCGCAACUGACGCUGAAGCUCGAAAGUGCGGGUAUCGAACAGGAUUAGAUACCCUGGUAGUCCGCACGGUAAACGAUGGAUGCCCGCUGUUGGUCUGAAUAGGUCAGCGGCC
Molecule: ribosomal RNA, 797 nt
Filed under: uncultured bacterium
Lineage: Bacteria
Description: bacterial SSU rRNA
Rfam family: Bacterial small subunit ribosomal RNA
Source: RNAcentral